CCAUAAAAGAGUUACUGGCUCACCUCAAGUCAAAAGCUGGGGCAACUGACCUUUUCCUUCCCACGCACAUCACUAGCCGCCGGCCCCCCACCCAAAGGCAAUCAGUUGCUUGAAUGGAAAAAGGAAGUAGGCAUCUUUAAUCUCUGAUUAAAGAAAAGAAAAGAGUUAACCUGAGAACCAAAGUGUCUAGACUGGGGCACAGUUAGCUUUAUAGUGCCUUAACCGUGACUAUCCCUUUGUUUCAUUUUAAACCCUAAGCUCCUGGAGCAAUCUUGUGGCCCAAGAGCUAUGAAGAAAAAGAGACUCUAUUUUCUGUAGUAAGAGGUGUCACUGACAUCCCAAAGUUUGUAUUUCUCAGUAACAUUACAUUUUGCUUGAUUUGUUGUGCAAUAUGUUAUCAGAUUACCAUAUACUUGUGUAAGGAUUCCCACCAAAGCACUUAACCUAAGUCUUUUUUGAAAAAGUUGGGUAUUGCCUUAUCUAACUGAAAUUUUGAAUCUUCCAUUUUAAUUGAUCCAGGGAAGCCUCUUCUGAAAAUCAGAUAUUUGUGCUACCCUACAGAUGUUUGAACUUUAUUUUUUGAACCUAUAACUUAAACUGGAUUACUCAGAAAGAUCUAAUGCUAACUAUAUUGACAAAUUACCUGUAAGUAUAAAGAUUGCUUAAGUAGUUAUUCCUUAUCUAAUCAAAUUAAUUUCGGCCUGGUACAACUCAUGAUUCUUUUGUCAUUUUUAUCUUGCUUUUCAGUGACAGAAAUGCUUGGCAAAGAAUUGUGUAUUAAAUAAUCAAACAUCUUUUUCACUUG
Molecule: long non-coding RNA, 805 nt
Filed under: Bos taurus (domestic cattle)
Lineage: Eukaryota; Metazoa; Chordata; Mammalia; Artiodactyla; Bovidae
Description: long non-coding RNA NONBTAT016914
Source: RNAcentral